Brienomyrus brachyistius is the source of this 6118-nucleotide long non-coding RNA. RefSeq lists it as uncharacterized. Lineage: Eukaryota; Metazoa; Chordata; Actinopteri; Osteoglossiformes; Mormyridae. The transcript is spliced from 3 exons. The record is from RefSeq and is a predicted model, not a curated record.
UGAAAAAUAUCGGUCAAUUUCACUCUCGGCCACACCCACAAGUAACCCCAAUAAGCUUCCAAAAUAAAACUUGAAGGAUGUUUUGCUGGAGAUUCAUACCGAAAUCCCACGAUCAUUGGUGUGAAUGAAAGUAAGUAUCUUAAAAUAUAAUUAAAAAUACAUUUUUAUGUCAUUAUUUGGUAAGAAAAUAAAACAUUUAAUAAAACUUAUUAAAUCUAACCUGGGCUGAUUUUAGGUUUUUACCUGCUACCUUGGUAAAUUGCCUAACAAUAACAAACUUGGGGCGAUAAUGAAUCAUGGCCAGGAUGCAAUCUGUGCGUUCUUCAUAUUUGGGUGGGGCAAGGGCGAUAUCUGGGGAUUUUUUACUGUCCUCUGUACUUAAGUUAUUAGCGUUGGAACUGGGGCAACGGAAGGUGAUGUGAACCAGGCAUGCGUAGGAAUGGGCAAUUCAUCGAAAAAUAAUCAAAAACCGCAAUUUAAAACCUCUAAUUGACGUAAUCUUCUCUACUACUUUUUUUUUGUUCUUAUAAUACUUAAAAAAACUUUUAAUACUUUCCCCAGUGUGUGUUCGUGUACUGUCCCCUUCAAAACAUACUACCGCGCGUGGUCUCACGUGACUCCGCCCCGCGCAGUCUGCGACAUGGAGGCGAAAUGAAACGCCAAUCCGUCUGAGCAACUCCAGUAGCUUGUACCAAACAAAAACGUCGUGUCCGUCGUGUGGACACAUUGUGGCUUUAGUGAAAGAGACACGGAACAAAAAGAGGUCAAAUGUGAACACUGCGGAAGAACAGCUUCAGCGACCAAAGAACCUUCCAGAUGCUUAGCUUCAGAGACACCAUCUGAAGGAACUGAAGGAAUGUGUUGAAAACACAACGCAAAUCUGCUUCUUUGAGAAACUUUUAGGAGCUGGCAUCAUAUCCAUUGAGGGAACACUUAGGAUGGUGACAUCACAGCUGCUGAAGGCACCCCAAUAGGUGUCAACCCUCCAUAAUCUAAUUUAUUUGUAAUAUCUUUCACUUAAGAUUUUUCUGGAACCGACUUGUAUAAUCCUGCUGUUCUGUUUUCUCUAGACAUCAUACUGCUGAGUCAUAUUAGCAUUUAGCAUUCAUGUCCAGUACAUCUAACUUAUGCUGAAUUUCCUUGGCUAAUGUGGAAAAUGUCCUCCAUUACGAUCAUCAUCAUCGCUGUUGGCACAGAGCCUCCGUGGGUUACAUUGCCCCCUCACAGCUCAAAGGUUGAGUGUCUCAAUCUCGCAUAGCAUUUUCUUAAAUUACCCGGUCAUUUUAAUCAGAUGUUAAAUAAAGAAAACAUGAAAAGAAAAGCUAAUGCAUGCUUUUAAUAUUUACAAAUAUAACUGUUAUGGUUUUAUGACGAAUGACUUGAGAGGAAUGUAUUUUGUUCUAUAAAUAUAGAAUUUUCUUGAAAUAGGAAAUUUAGAUUUAUGUGUGAUACUUUCGAGACUUCGAAGAAAAAGAAACAGAGAGCGAAACGCGUGGGGAAAAUUUUGCGAUGGGUUUGCGGCUUGUCGCAUGUGGCGGUCAGGGGUGUGAGCCCAGUCAUGUGACCCUCCACCCCUGAAGGGUCACACACCCAGCAAGGUCAACACUUGAAUGAUCUCAAGGGCUUCUAAUAUCAGCAACCAUCCGUUGUUUCACAUUGCAAACAUAAACAUGUUUGUACAGUUAUGAAUGAACAGGAACAUCGCAAAAAUAAUUUAAUCGUCUUUAUUUACAUAGCACCUUUCGUACAUGAAAUGCAACUCAAAGUGUAAGUCGAGAAGGAAAAAUAACAGGCUUACAGAGUAAAGAAUUAGAGACAAGGAUUAAAAUUACUACAAAAAGGUGAUGCAAAGUGAUGAUAUAAAAAAGGACACCACAGUCAAGAUGAAAGCACUAAACGGUGAAAUAAAAAAAUACAUUUUAAUACAAUAUUAUGAUAUAAUUUAAAAAAUAACUUUGUUCCAGAAUGGCAAUGACAUAAUCUGCUCUCUGACACGCUGUUGAUAGAUACACGCAACACCAGCUAAGGACGUCACCUCACUUUCCUUAGUAUAUGCUCUGCCCACGGGAGACGCCCAUUACGAAUCAGCAGACUACAAAAUAUGCAGAAGAAGAACAAUUUUUAAAAAAAAGCAAAAGAGUGACAGAUAUAUUUAUACAAAUAUAUUUGGAGUUAUUAGAAGGAGAAUCUGUGACAACCGGAAGAGUGAACCAUUUUGGGUUGACCUUUGGGAAAACGGCGUAGCACCCCUGCAGCGGAUGUGCACGCGAUAGAUGGCCCACGGGCGCUAACAAGUGGGUCGCUCUAUGCACUGGCCUCCGGUGCUGAGCAUUGUGGGAAACCCUCUUCUGCGAGUACAGCAGUGACUCCCAUACAGUUGCGGGAGCCUCGCCGGCCCUUUAUGCUUUGAAAAUCAUGAGCUCCACACAGGGCAGCCUUCGAAGUCGCUGGAGAGCAACAGCUAUUGAUGGCGUGAGAAGCGGGGUUCAGAUCCCGUGACCGUUAAUGAGGCCACUUGCAGUCUAGGAGAUGGUGGUCUGCAGCAAGCAAAGCGUGAAGAUGAGCAGCAUGUGGCAAGCAUGGCCUGUGCCGGCUGCAAUCCUCAUCUGCUACACCCCAGCCUCAUGUGGCUGGUUCUCGUGAAGUAUGUAGCCAAUAAAAGGAAGCGGCCCCCUAUCUCUACACGUGAGCCGCGGAUACCGAGAGACAGACCUGCGCCAGCCGCUUCAGAAGAAAGCCACAGCGUGAGGCUACAGCGGCUGGAUGUGUCGACAAUGCACAGAGCCGUCACGGAAAAAACAGGAGGCUGGGGGAGCAUACUGCCCCGGGGGGGGGGCUCACAGCCUCCUUUGCUGCCUGCCAUACUGUCCUCCACAGGUGCAAUUAUAUGAUUUGACCCAAAGGGGGGGGGGGGGCUGCUACAAAUCACUAAAAGGGUUUAAGAAAACAAGACACAAGAAUUAGGGUGGCUGAAGACACCUUAAAUUGGGUCUAGCAUCGUCUGUGUUCCCCUAAAUGCCCUUUGUAAGGUAUGGAUGGAUCCUGCUGGCUACUUCCACAUCUGUGGGAGAAGGAGCACUCAGCCCUGCCUCUUACCCAGUUUGGGGAUCACCUGCUACCCCCAUUAACAUAUGUGCCCUCGUUUCCGUAUCAUCCAUCCAUGGCAAGGGAGUGAGGCUUUGAGGAGUCCAAUGGAGCUUGUCAUGAAAGUGAGCUAAUCCUCCCCAAAAAAAAUAUCAACAUGAAAAAAUAGAGAGCUUGAGAAAGACGAAUGAAAGAAGGGGGGGAGUAACAGGAAGUCACCCCCCCCUCUCCGCCGCUGUGGCUAACGGGUCCUGAUCAAAGGGAGUGAUUGGGUUUUCUGCUGCUGGGGGACAGGGGAGUGACACCCAUGGAGUCGGUUCAACGGCUGGGUACAGAUGGCAAAAGCAUCUGGGGUGGGGGCGGGCAAGGCGGCAACGCUCCGCCAGAAUCCAAAUCUUCCUUUAUUGCCUGGGUGCCACUCGCCAGACAAACGGAUCUGCUGGGCUGGAAUUGCUGGGAUAUAAGCCGCUGGAUUGAAAGGACAUAGCCGACUGGCUGGACACCGGAAAGAGGCCCCGUCACAUCUCUUGUUGCCGAGAUCCACUGCAAACAAUCCUGUUGACGUAAAGCAAUUUGGCAGGUGUUCUGUGGCCAGAAGGGGAGUUUAAAAUCCCUUCAAACACCAUAUUCCUUCCAAACAGGAAAUUAAUUAGGAAAUGAGUUAUCAAACAGUAUUUCAAACAGCCUCACAGUUUUGGGAGAGGUACUAUGCGGUACUAUACUAUUGCACUUGUUGCUUCUUGAAACAAAACAAUGACCGUUGAGUCAAUUCUUAAUGUGUAAAAAGUAGAGCAUUUUUUUCAAUUUCUUUUUUCAAUUUUUUUUCAUUUUCUUAAUUUCUUAAAAACCAUGGCUGGCUUUGAUAUCCUGCCCUGAGGAAUCCAGCUGUUGUCUUGAGUGAUCUGUGGCCAUAGUCAGUGCACUUACUAAACUAGAAUCGGAGUGCCUUAAGCAGAAGAGAAUGUAGCACGAGAACGAGCAAAAAAAUUUCCCUUCAGUAGCGAAAAUAGAGCAAUGCAGCGCCUUCCUUAACAAAAACAGAGCGAAGCAGCCCCUUUCGUUAAUGAAAAGAGAGAGGUGCACCACCUUCCUUACUGAAAACCGAGAGAUAAUAAUAAUAAUUGAUACUUUAUUGAUCCCCGUAGGGUAAUUGUCUUUACCUACAACUUGCUCUUUUUUCAUAGAGGAAGUUGUCUGCGAAGGGCUGCCACCCGUAGCGGCGCCCAGGGAGCUGGAGGUUAAGGGCCUCGCUCAAGGACCCACAGGCUGAGGCUGGGUUUGAACCUGUGAUCUUCUGAUUACAGGCACACAUGUUUAGCCCACAGAACCAUACGCUGCCCCCCGUCCACGAUGUACCCCAUCGCUAAUGAAAACAGAGCGAUGUGCCCCCUUCAUCAGUGAAAAUGGAGCCAUGCAAACCCCCUUUAACUAACAACAAUGCAAUGACGCAUCUUCUUCUUCAAGCACAUAUCUGCACACCCUUUGUUAAUGCAAACAGCAGUUCACCCCAGUUGUUAACAAUAAUUAACAAAAAAUGCAACACUGUAUCCCUGUCAUUAAGCAUAUUUGAAAAUGCCAUCCAUAACACACUUCCCUGCCCUGUGUGAAAACAUAUUUACUUUGUUCUUAAACUCUAUCAUUUAACCCUUAGAUUCUUAAUGAAGUCCAGAGAAACAUCCUUCUUGGUUACUUGAAAACAACACAUCCCCUAGGGUGAAGAACAUCCCAUUUCCUAAGCAGUGCAGUAAGAGGCACUUCCAGUGACUGGUAAGCACUGUCGUAACACCAUUAGCAUCAGUAAUCUCUCUGUUGUCAGCCCAGCCUCCCUGGAAAAUUCUCAAUGAAAGUUCAAGUGGCUCAGCUCUGCUGAAACAAGACAGACCAAUGAGUGUGCGAGGAGGCCUCGGGCAAGCGUGUGAUUCGUCCUCAGCCUCCAAAGAUGUGCACAAGUGUGGCGCACAUGUGUGGCUCUCAUGAUGAAAGCAGAGCUGGACCCCAGCAGCCGAUGUGGUGAAUUUCCUGUGCAGCUUCCGGAAUCGGCUGUAGACCGGCAAGACCCAGAAUAGGACAAGCGUGUAAAGAAAAUGGAUGGACAGCUGAAAUGUUUUAAGAGGAAGAGUAAAUGUUUGAGGUGCCUUUGAAGGCAUGAGGAUGGAUUUCAGAAUUAAACCGACCUAAGAAUAAUACACAUACUGAUAUAAAAGGUUAAAAAUAAAAUAAAUAAGGAAUAAAAAAAAUUGAGUGGCUGUUUUUAAGCUACAGAGUCCCCCCCCCCCCAUGGAGCGCACUAGGAAAACAGCUGGCAGAAAGCGCUUGUGAUUCUCAGCAUCGCCCGCUAGUCCUCUAAUUUGCUGCAGAGCCUCUCCUCCACGCCCAGCUGCCCUCUUUAGCUCCUGCAUCACUUCACCACAGACUAACGGGUUCAGGAAAAUAAACAAGCAAAGGGACAAAAAAAAGAAAAUCAAUCAGUCAUCAUCGCCUAGACGACUCAAACAUAAAGCCAAUUUCAAUUUCACGAUGCAUAAGUUUGCUUACUGCAUGUAGACCUAUAGGACGUUAAAAAAAGAGCUCAAAAAGGUUCUAAUUAUUAUGUUAGAUUUUUAUUUAUUUUUGCAAAUUUCUGGAAAAGUCUGGAUUUAUAAGGGAGUCAUUUUCCAAAUGCGUUUUUACUGAAUCGGUUUAAAGGAUAAGCGUUACUGUGAAUUUAAAGGGCUGCGGCCAUGUGAAGUUGAAAAACUUAGUGCAGCAUAAAAUCAUACAAUCGUCCGAUAUCCAAAACCUGCAAGCUCUCGGACUGCAGCAUACUGAUUUAACUUCAUACGGUGCUGCGGUUGUAAGACGGUGAGAAAAGAGGGCAGGGUGCCGGCCAUGGGGGCCGGUGUGGAAAUUACUGAGAACGCGGUCACGCGCGUUUGCUGACGGGAUCCUUCUGGGCAUUUCACAACGCCCCCUCUGCGGGUUGCAGGGAAAUGUGAGAGCGGCUUUUUGAAAUACAGCCACAUAAAAAAGAAAUUUAAGAACUGAUUUGAUCAAA